This 299-nucleotide signal recognition particle RNA is filed under the name Saimiri boliviensis boliviensis (Bolivian squirrel monkey). RNAcentral describes it as "Metazoan signal recognition particle RNA (ENSSBOG00000001889.1)". It matches the Rfam family "Metazoan signal recognition particle RNA". Rfam says of the family: The signal recognition particle (SRP) is a universally conserved ribonucleoprotein. It is involved in the co-translational targeting of proteins to membranes. The record is from RNAcentral. Lineage: Eukaryota; Metazoa; Chordata; Mammalia; Primates; Cebidae.
GCCGGGCGCUGUGGCGCGUGCCUGCAGUCCCAGCUACUCGGGAGGCUGAGGCUGGAGGAUCUCUUGAGCUCAGGAGUUCUGGGCUGUAGUGCGCUAUGCCGAUCAGGUGUCUGCACUGAGUUCAGCAUCAAUAUGGUGACCUCCCCGAAGUGGGGGACCAUCAGGUUGCCUAAGGAGGGGUGAAUUGGCCCAGGUCAGAAACAGAGCAGGUCAAAACUCCCGUGCUGAUCAGUAGUGGGAUCACGCCUGUGAAUAGCCACUGCACUCCAGCCUGGGUAACAUAGCAAGACCUGGUCUCU